UCCAAAAAAAACAACAAAAGAGCCACGUCUUUCUCUCUCUUCGGCCAUACUCUCUUCUCUCUCUCUGUAAGCCGCAUCUCUCUCUCUUUCUAGCGAACGCCUACCAACCAUGGCCGGUGACGACACCAACAGCCGUCAGCCACUAGUCCAACGCCGCCACUGAUGGACCAGCAACACCCAACUACCGUCGCCGCCUCAUCCUCUCAAGCCACGACCAGCAACAGUACCACGUCGCCACUCCACUGUCGGCUGAUGUCCAGCAAAACCAGGCCACCAGUGAUCUCCAUCAAUCCGCCACCUUGUUCCGCCGCUGCCCGUGAUUCCAAUUGAAAUUCAUCGAAAAAUCAUUUAAAAGUGCAUGACGUAUUCACAAAUCCGUCUCAGGCCAUGCUAACAGAUUUGUGGCAGAAAGUUAGUCGAUUCGUGGGAUUUGAAGAGUUGUCCGGGAGUUGGAGAGGGGCAUCUUAUUCCUUUCUUGGUUUAGUCUUGUUUUUUUGUUAUCAUUAUUCAUUGGUCUGUAUUUUAUUGUAUAAACCUCAUUGAUGUAAUAAUAAAUUAUAUGAGCUGCUUGGGGGCA
Molecule: long non-coding RNA, 577 nt
Organism: Capsicum annuum
Lineage: Eukaryota; Viridiplantae; Streptophyta; Magnoliopsida; Solanales; Solanaceae
Exons: 2
Source: RefSeq, a predicted model, not a curated record